RNAcentral lists this ribosomal RNA (274 nucleotides) under uncultured bacterium. Its description in RNAcentral is "partial 16S ribosomal RNA". It matches the Rfam family "Bacterial small subunit ribosomal RNA", at positions 523 to 796 of the family's 1533-position model. The record is from RNAcentral.
AUACGGAGGGGGCUAGCGUUGUUCGGAAUUACUGGGCGUAAAGGGCGCGUAGGCGGAAUGAUAAGUCAGAGGUGAAAACCCAGGGCUCAACCCCGGGCCUGCCUUUGAUACUGUCAUUCUUGAGUGCGAGAGAGGAAAGCGGAAUUCCCGGUGUAGCGGUGAAAUGCGUAGAUAUCGGGAAGAACACCGGUAGCGAAGGCGGCUUUCUGGCUCGCAACUGACGCUGAGGCGCGAAAGCGUGGGGAGCAAACAGGAUUAGAAACCCCGGUAGUCC